This 450-nucleotide ribosomal RNA is filed under the name uncultured bacterium. RNAcentral's name for it is "partial 16S ribosomal RNA". It matches the Rfam family "Bacterial small subunit ribosomal RNA", at positions 354 to 796 of the family's 1533-position model. The record is from RNAcentral.
GUGGGGAAUCUUCCGCAAUGGACGAAAGUCUGACGGAGCAACGCCGCGUGAGUGAAGAAGGUUUUCGGAUCGUAAAGCUCUUUCGUUAGGGACGAACGUGCUCUUUGUGAAUAAUGAGGAGUAAUGACGGUACCUAAAUAAGAAGCCACGGCUAACUACGUGCCAGCAGCCGCGGUAAUACGUAGGUGGCAAGCGUUGUCCGGAAUUAUUGGGCGUAAAGCGCGCGCAGGCGGGAUAUCAAGUCUGUCUUAAAAGUGCGAGGCUCAACCUCGUGGGGGGACAGAAACUGGUAUUCUUGAGUGUCGGAGAGGAAAGUGGAAUUCCAAGUGUAGCGGUGAAAUGCGUAGAGAUUUGGAAGAACACCAGUGGCGAAGGCGACUUUCUGGACGAUGUCUGACGCUGAGGCGCGAAAGCUAGGGGAGCGAACGGGAUUAGAUACCCCUGUAGUCC